Molecule: non-coding RNA, 2055 nt
Organism: Arachis ipaensis
Lineage: Eukaryota; Viridiplantae; Streptophyta; Magnoliopsida; Fabales; Fabaceae
Source: RefSeq, a predicted model, not a curated record
UCGCAGUUUCGCACUUCACAGCCAUCUCCUUGGCGUCUGCUUGCUGGUUUAGGGUUUAGCAAUUGAUUUAUGAUAAUACCUGUUAUUUGUUUCAAAUUGAUUUGCUGAUUAGCUGGAUUUUCCGAGGUUAUUGUGUGCUGGUUAAGUAAUUGUGUGCUGGAUUUUCAUGUAAUUUUUCUGUAGUAAUUUGACUUUCUUGUGUUUGUAUGCAGAGAAUGGUUGUUUCUUUUUUCACCUUCUUUUCUGAAUCUGUUAUUGUAUCUAAUCAUGUCCACAUUGUACUUCCUUGGAAAAAUGGUGUUGCUUCUGAUAAAUCUAUUGUGCUGUUAAAUAUUCCAAUAUCAUUGCUCUGCUUAGGUGAUUAAUAAGUUUAGCCUAUCCAUCUCCUUAACUAGUUUUAGAUACGCGCUUGGUCAAAGUUGUUUGUCUUAUUAUCUUGUUAUGCAUGCCUUUAAAUCUUUGUCUAAGUAGUAUGAAAAACUUUUUACUAUUUGAAGGUUUUGUCGCUAAAGUAAAAAACUGUACUCCCUUUGCUUUUGAAGCUUAUAAGCUGUCAUUCUUUCUGUAUGUUGUAGGAGUUAGAGAGAGAAAGGUGUUUGUUAGUUGAAACCUUAAGGUCCAAACUGGUAUGGUUUUGCUUAUGUUUAGCCUACAAUGGCCGAUAACUUGUGUAUUUCAUAAAUAGGUUUGUGCCUUCGUUCCAUUUUGUUGUAGGAGGAUACUAGGCAAAAGAUGGUUGUGUUUGAUAAUGAGGUUCGCCAGUUGAAAACUGAAUUGCAUGAGGAGAAGCUGACCACUGCAAAUCAAACAAAGAGCAGAAAAUAGAAGAACUUGAAGAGGAAACAAGAAGAUUAAGCAAAGAGCUUGACAGUGAAAAGCAGGAAGCUCGAGAAGAAGCAUGGGAUAAAGUUUCUAUUCUUAAGCUUGAGAUAAAUGCCACAAUGCAGGAUCUAGAUUUUGAGAGGAGGAGAUUAAAAGGUGCCAAGGAAAGACUUAUGCUUUGGGAAAUACAACUACAUGCAUUUUAUUCCACUACUGAGGAGAUGCAAGUACUCUUUGCUAAGCAACAGGAGCAAUUAAAGGCUAUGCAGAGAACUCUUGAAAACGAAGAGAAUUACGAGAAUACUUCUGUAGAUAUGGAUGGAGUGAUCGGUGGAACCCCUGGAAGAGAGAGAAGAGUCAGGAUACUAUAGCAAAAAUGCUACAAAGGCAGGAUGAACUGCAUCUACACUGAAGCAUAACAGAGAUCAAGUAAAAACCUCAAGCAAUGAAGCUAGUGUCACUGAGAAGCACGACUGUGAGGUGAGAAGUCAAGAAUGCCAAAAUACACAAGAGUUCACCAGUGCAGAUCAUGACCAUGAUGUAAGAGGUGGCUUUAGUUCUGAUAUUGAUGGUGCUGGCACAACAGCUAUGAUGGAUGGAGGCACUGGCGGUACUGAGGAUCCCAUUACAAAGCUAGACCGAAUGAGGAAGAUGACACCUCUACUGAAGAAGAUAAGAGUUAAAAUAUAUUUUUAGUUAUUUUAACUGUCAAAAUACUGAAAAGAUUCUUGUCAAGAGUUAAUACUACAUACUCUUAAACAAAACACCACCACUUAAACUCGCAGUCUAUACAAUGAAUGUUGCUGCUUUAAAUUCUUGUCAAGAGAUGUGUUGGUAUUCAUCAUUCCCUUAAGGUUAGUCUCUAUUUGUUCUUUGAAAGGUGUACUGAAAAAUUUGUUUGGUUUCUAUUUUUUAACAGGAGUUUAGGAUCGCACGAUCUUCUAGUCACCAGAUAGCGCAUGGUAACACUACUAUGUUCAUACUGCAGGAUAUAGAUUGCAUUCAUACUAAAGGUUGUAAUACUAGUUCUCGAUGUUCAUGCAGCUAUUGCAAAAGAUCCUCAGCACUUCCGACAGAUUGUUGUUUUUCUGGUGGACAAAUUUCGGAUAGACAAUUCUCUGUUGGAGAACUAUGCUUUUUCCUUGUUCCAAAAUUUUAUCUUUAUUUAUGCAGUUUCACUAAAAUAUUGUAUUUGCUUAUAUUUUUACCUUUAGUUAUUAAAUUCUAUUUUUU